RNAcentral lists this ribosomal RNA (734 nucleotides) under Alteromonas macleodii. RNAcentral's name for it is "bacterial SSU rRNA". It matches the Rfam family "Bacterial small subunit ribosomal RNA", at positions 96 to 832 of the family's 1533-position model. Lineage: Bacteria; Pseudomonadati; Pseudomonadota; Gammaproteobacteria; Alteromonadales; Alteromonadaceae. The record is from RNAcentral.
UGGCGGACGGGUGAGUAAUGCUUGGGAACUUGCCUUUGCGAGGGGGAUAACAGUUGGAAACGACUGCUAAUACCGCAUAAUGUCUACGGACCAAACGGGGCUUCCGCUCCAGCGCAAAGAGAGGCCCAAGUGAGAUUAGCUAGUUGGUAAGGUAACGGCUUACCAAGGCGACGAUCUCUAGCUGUUCUGAGAGGAAGAUCAACCACACUGGGACUGAGACACGGCCCAGACUCCUACGGGAGGCAGCAGUGGGGAAUAUUGCACAAUGGGGGAAACCCUGAUGCAGCCAUGCCGCGUGUGUGAAGAAGGCCUUCGGGUUGUAAAGCACUUUCAGUUGUGAGGAAAAGUUAGUAGUUAAUACCUGCUAGCCGUGACGUUAACAACAGAAGAAGCACCGGCUAACUCCGUGCCAGCAGCCGCGGUAAUACGGAGGGUGCGAGCGUUAAUCGGAAUUACUGGGCGUAAAGCGCACGCAGGCGGUUUGUUAAGCUAGAUGUGAAAGCCCCGGGCUCAACCUGGGAUGGUCAUUUAGAACUGGCAGACUAGAGUCUUGGAGAGGGGAGUGGAAUUCCAGGUGUAGCGGUGAAAUGCGUAGAUAUCUGGAGGAACAUCAGUGGCGAAGGCGACUCCCUGGUCAAAGACUGACGCUCAUGUGCGAAAGUGUGGGUAGCGAACAGGAUUAGAUACCCUGCUACUCCACACCGUACACGCUGUCUACUAGCUGUGUGUGCCUU